RNAcentral lists this ribosomal RNA (460 nucleotides) under uncultured bacterium. RNAcentral's name for it is "partial 16S ribosomal RNA". It matches the Rfam family "Bacterial small subunit ribosomal RNA", at positions 338 to 795 of the family's 1533-position model. The record is from RNAcentral.
CCUACGGGUGGCAGCAGUGAGGAAUAUUGGUCAAUGGUCGGGAGACUGAACCAGCCAAGCCGCGUGAGGGAGGAAGGUACAGAGUAUCGUAAACCUCUUUUGUCAGGGAACAAAGACUGGGACGCGUCCCCGGAUGAGUGUACCUGAAGAAAAAGGAUCGGCUAACUCCGUGCCAGCAGCCGCGGUAAUACGGAGGAUGCGAGCGUUAUCCGGAUUUAUUGGGUUUAAAGGGAGCGUAGGCCGCAUGUCAAGCGUGCUGUGAAAUGUCCGGGCUCAACCCGGGCCUUGCAGCGCGAACUGGCGUGCUUGAGUCCGCGGAAGGCAGGCGGAAUUCGUGGUGUAGCGGUGAAAUGCGUAGAUAUGACGAAGAACCCCGAAUGCGAAGGCAGCUUGCUGCAGCGGAACUGACGCUGAUGCUCGAAAGCGCGGGUAUCGAACAGGAUUAGAUACCCGGGUAGUC